This is a non-coding RNA of Merops nubicus (carmine bee-eater), 266 nucleotides long. Lineage: Eukaryota; Metazoa; Chordata; Aves; Coraciiformes; Meropidae. The record is from the annotation of a RefSeq genome assembly.
GGUCCACCCUCCCACCUCCGUGUCCCUCUUCCACUCCUGCGAGGCCACCACCGUCCAACUCCUCUGCGUGGUCAACGGCUUCUCCCCCCGCCCCCUGGCCUUGGAUUGGCUGGUGGAUGACCACGCCCUCAGCCCCUCCCCCCCGGCUCCACCCGUCCAACCCGAGGUCACCUCUGGGACCUUCCGGCUGGUCUCCAACCUCAACGUCUCCUUGGAAGACUGGAGGGAGAAGGUCUUCUCCUGCAAAGUCACCCACCCGGCUUCGG